GAUUAACGCUAGCGGCAGGCCUAAUACAUGCAAGUCGAACGGCAGCACGGGUAGCAAUACCUGGUGGCGAGUGGCGCACGGGUGCGUAACACGUAUGCAAUCUACCUUUAACUGGGGAACAACCCCUCGAAAGAGGGGCUAAUACCGCAUAACAUCAUGAGGUGGCAUUAUCUUAUGAUCAAACUUACGGGGGUUAAAGAUGAGCAUGCGUCCGAUUAGCUAGUUGGCGGGGUAACGGCCCACCAAGGCAACGAUCGGUAGGGGGUCUGAGAGGAUGAUCCCCACACUGGUACUGAGACACGGACCAGACUCCUACGGGAGGCAGCAGUAAGGAAUAUUGGACAAUGGA
Molecule: ribosomal RNA, 349 nt
Filed under: uncultured bacterium
Lineage: Bacteria
Description: bacterial SSU rRNA
Rfam family: Bacterial small subunit ribosomal RNA
Source: RNAcentral